GGGAGUAUAGCUCAGUGGUGGAGUGCAUGCUUAGAAUGUAUGAGGUCCUGGGUUCAAUCCCCAGGACUUCCA
Non-coding RNA from Vicugna pacos (alpaca), 72 nucleotides. The record is from the annotation of a RefSeq genome assembly. Lineage: Eukaryota; Metazoa; Chordata; Mammalia; Artiodactyla; Camelidae.